GCAUAACUUUCUUUGUAUGCGUGAUGGGAUACAAGUGGAAAGUGCUUUUCAAUGGUUUUCUAAUAUCUAUCUAUUUACAGUUUGAAUUUUGAUUUCUUUGAAAAUCCAAGCAAUACAAUCAAUUUUUAUAAUCUAUCUGUAGCCUGCCCUGCAUACACAGGGAAAAAAAUUGUAUUGAUGGGUUUUUGUUUAAAAUAUUUACCAUGUAUACUAUCAAUGUAAAAACUGAACUCGUAUUUUUCUGGGAAAUAUUAAACAUCGUGUUUUUUUACUAAUUUAUCAUAUGGAAAAUCUGUAAUAACCAAUAAUGGUAAGAGUUCAGUUCUUACAUUCAAAAAUCCAUUAAUGGAAAUUUAUAAUUUUUUCCUGUGAUAGCAGGUAUUGUUUGGUUGGCUAUGAGCAAUCUGAAUACUGCAGCAGAG
This is a non-coding RNA of Paramuricea clavata, 422 nucleotides long. The record is from the annotation of a GenBank genome assembly. NCBI's taxonomy places the organism in Eukaryota, Metazoa, Cnidaria, Anthozoa, Malacalcyonacea, Plexauridae.